This 321-nucleotide long non-coding RNA is filed under the name Homo sapiens (human). RNAcentral describes it as "long non-coding RNA NONHSAT236179". The record is from RNAcentral. Lineage: Eukaryota; Metazoa; Chordata; Mammalia; Primates; Hominidae.
GAGGCAAGGGGAGCUGUCCUCCCUCCUCUGGCAUGGAGGAGCACAACUCGGGAGGAGCAGAGGGCAACUUGGGGCCGGAGGCAUCUGCAGCUACCUGUCCCAGGCACCCCAGAGUCUCUCGGGGUAUGCUGAUGAUGGUGACAGGCUCAAGUUGAAGCUGCAGGAGGAACUUUUUGCUGCUUUUAAGCAGCCCAGGCCUGGGACAGGUUCAGACAGAAGCCCAGGCUCUGAGCGCUGGGUGGGAGUCAGGGGGGCUGUGUUACAGAACAGCAAUAGGAAGAGCUCCGAGCUUGGAAUUCACACACAUGCCUGGAUCCUGGC